Molecule: long non-coding RNA, 1245 nt
Organism: Rana temporaria (common frog)
Lineage: Eukaryota; Metazoa; Chordata; Amphibia; Anura; Ranidae
Exons: 2
Source: RefSeq, a predicted model, not a curated record
GUCAAAGAUUUACAAUGCCUCAUGGGACGUGCAGUUCCACAACAGCUGGAGGGCCGUCAUUUGGAGAUCCCUGGUCUAAACCAACUAGAAGGGGGCUACCAAUGUAUCCAGGAGGAGUAGUGUCUGUCCCAUCUAGAUCUUGCCAGAAGACUACUACUUAAUCUGAGAGGAGUAGAGUCUGUCCCAUCUGGAUCUCACCAAGGGGCUUCUAAUGGAUCCAGGAGAGGUAGUGUCUGUCCCAUCUUGAUCUCACCAAGGGGCUUCUAAUGGAUCCAGGAGGGGUAGUGUCUGUCCCAUCUAGAUCUCACCAAGGGGCUUCUAAUGGAUCCAGGAGAGGUAGUGUCUGUCCCAUCUAGAUCUCACCAAGGGGCUUCUAAUGGAUCCAGGAGAGGUAGUGUCUGUCCCAUCUUGAUCUCACCAAGGGGCUUCUAAUGGAUCCAGGAGGGGUAGGUUCUGUCCCACCUAGAUCUCCCUGGGGUGCUUCUAAUGGAUCCAGGAGAGGUAGUGUCUGUCCCAUCUAGAGCUCACUGGGGUGCUUCUAAUGGAUCCAGGAGGGGUAGGUUCUGUCCCACCUAGAUCUCCCUGGGGUGCUUCUAAUGGAUCCAGGAGGGGUAGUGUCUGUCCCAUCUAGAUCUCACUGGGGUGCUUCUAAUGGAUCCAGGAGGGGUAGUGUCUGUCCCAUCUAGAUCUCACUGGGGUGCUUCUAAUGGAUCCAGGAGGGGUAGUGUCUGUCCCAUCUAGAUCUCCCUGGGGUGCUUCUAAUGGAUCCAGGAGGGGUAGUGUCUGUCCCAUCUAGAUCUCACUGGGGUGCUUCUAAUGGAUCCAGGAGGGGUAGUGUCUGUCCCAUCUAGAUCUCACUGGCGUGCUUCUAAUGGAUCCAGGAGGGGUAGUGUCUGUCCCCUCCAGCUCUUCCAAGGGGCUUUAAAUUGUUUCUGGAAGGGUAAGGUCUGUCCUUUUUAGAGUUCCCUGAGAGUCUUCUAAUAGAUCUCCACUGAAGGAUCUCUACAUGGAUGGAACACCUAGAUCCCUAUGGGAGGAGCUACCCAUGCAGCCUACAGUCACAUAGAUCAAUCAUUGGACCACGUGACCUUAAUCUAUAUUUGUCGCUGCUUGUGUAGCGCCCCCUAUAGCGUUGUUCCAUCUCUUGGUAUUGAAUAUCCAGCCUGGUUAAUCAAACUCUCCCUUGUAGCUCCGCCCUUAUAGUGAGUCACAAUUGUCAACCAAUAAUAAAUCAUUCAUAAAGCA